This 963-nucleotide ribosomal RNA is filed under the name Pediococcus acidilactici. RNAcentral describes it as "bacterial SSU rRNA". It matches the Rfam family "Bacterial small subunit ribosomal RNA", at positions 430 to 1422 of the family's 1533-position model. Lineage: Bacteria; Bacillati; Bacillota; Bacilli; Lactobacillales; Lactobacillaceae. The record is from RNAcentral.
ACUCUGUUUUAAGAAGAAGUGGUGAGAGUAAUGUUCACCCGUGACGUAUUUACCAGAAAGCACGGCUAAUACGUCCAGCAGCGCGGUAAACGUAGUUGCAGCGUUUCCGGAUUAUUGGGGUAAACGAGCGCAGGCGUCUUUAAGUUUAAGUAAAGCCUUGGCUCAACGAAGAAUGCAUUGAAACUGGAGACUGAGUGCGAAGAGGACAGGGAACUCCAUGGUAGCGGGGAAUGCGUAGAUUUUGGAAGAACACCAGGGGGAAGGCGGCUGUUUGGUCUGUAACUGACGGUGAGGCUCGAAAGCAUGGUAGCGAACAGGAUUAGAUACCCUGGUAGUCCAUGCCGUAAACGAUGAUUACUAAGUGUUGGAGGGUUUCCGCCCUUCAGUGCUGCAGCUAACGCAUUAAGUAAUCCGCCUGGGGAGUACGACCGCAAGGUUGAAACUCAAAAGAAUUGACGGGGGCCCGCACAAGCGGUGGAGCAUGUGGUUUAAUUCGAAGCUACGCGAAGAACCUUACCAGGUCUUGACAUCUUCUGCCAACCUAAGAGAUUAGGCGUUCCCUUCGGGGACAGAAUGACAGGUGGUGCAUGGUUGUCGUCAGCUCGUGUCGUGAGAUGUUGGGUUAAGUCCCGCAACGAGCGCAACCCUUAUUACUAGUUGCCAGCAUUCAGUUGGGCACUCUAGUGAGACUGCCGGUGACAAACCGGAGGAAGGUGGGGACGACGUCAAAUCAUCAUGCCCCUUAUGACCUGGGCUACACACGUGCUACAAUGGAUGGUACAACGAGUUGCGAAACCGCGAGGUUUAGCUAAUCUCUUAAAACCAUUCUCAGUUCGGACUGUAGGCUGCAACUCGCCUACACGAAGUCGGAAUCGCUAGUAAUCGCGGAUCAGCAUGCCGCGGUGAAUACGUUCCCGGGCCUUGUACACACCGCCCGUCACACCAUGAGAGUUUGUAACACCC